UACGAAGGGUGCAAGCGUUACUCGGAAUUACUGGGCGUAAAGCGUGCGUAGGCGGUUUGUUAAGUCCGUUGUGAAAGCCCUGGGCUCAACCUGGGAAUUGCAGUGGAUACUGGCAAACUAGAGUACGGUAGAGGAUGGUGGAAUUCCCGGUGUAGCGGUGAAAUGCGUAGAGAUCGGGAGGAACACCCGUGGCGAAGGCGGCCAUCUGGACCAGUACUGACGCUGAGGCACGAAAGCGUGGGGAGCAAACAGG
This 253-nucleotide ribosomal RNA is filed under the name uncultured bacterium. Its description in RNAcentral is "partial 16S ribosomal RNA". It matches the Rfam family "Bacterial small subunit ribosomal RNA", at positions 524 to 776 of the family's 1533-position model. The record is from RNAcentral.